UGGGGAAUAUUGGACAAUGGACGAAAGUCUGAUCCAGCAACGCCGCGUGAGCGAUGAAGGCCUUCGGGUCGUAAAGCUCUGUCAGAUGGAACGAAAGAAAUGAACCUAAUACGUUCAUUGUUGACGGUACUAUCAAAGGAAGCAUCGGCUAACUCUGUGCCAGCAGCCGCGGUAAGACAGAGGAUGCAAGCGUUGUUCGGAAUUACUGGGCGUAAAGAGCGCGUAGGUGGUUUUGUAUGUCUGGUGUGAAAGCCCUUGGCUCAACCAAGGAAGUGCGCUAGAAACUGCAAAACUCGAGUUCGGGAGAGGAUGGUAGAAUUCUCAGUGUAGAGGUGAAAUUCGUAGAUACUGGGAGGAACACCGGUGGCGAAGGCGACCAUCUGGACCGAUACUGACACUAAAGUGCGAAAGCGUGGGUAGCAAACAG
This 427-nucleotide ribosomal RNA is filed under the name uncultured bacterium. RNAcentral describes it as "bacterial SSU rRNA". It matches the Rfam family "Bacterial small subunit ribosomal RNA", at positions 355 to 775 of the family's 1533-position model. The record is from RNAcentral.